GACGAACGCUGGCGGCGUGCUUAACACAUGCAAGUCGAACGGAAAGGCCCUGCUUUUGUGGGGUGCUCGAGUGGCGAACGGGUGAGUAACACGUGAGUAACCUGCCCUUGACUUUGGGAUAACUUCAGGAAACUGGGGCUAAUACCGGAUAGGAGCUCCUGCUGCAUGGUGGGGGUUGGAAAGUUUCGGCGGUUGGGGAUGGACUCGCGGCUUAUCAGCUUGUUGGUGGGGUAGUGGCUUACCAAGGCUUUGACGGGUAGCCGGCCUGAGAGGGUGACCGGCCACAUUGGGACUGAGAUACGGCCCAGACUCCUACGGGAGGCAGCAGUGGGGAAUAUUGCACAAUGGGCGGAAGCCUGAUGCAGCAACGCCGAGUGCGGGAUGACGGCAUUCGGGUUGUAAACCGCUUUCGCCUGUGACGAAGCGUGAGUGACGGUAAUGGGUAAAGAAGCACCGGCUAACUACGUG
This 468-nucleotide ribosomal RNA is filed under the name uncultured bacterium. RNAcentral's name for it is "partial 16S ribosomal RNA". It matches the Rfam family "Bacterial small subunit ribosomal RNA", at positions 28 to 507 of the family's 1533-position model. The record is from RNAcentral.